Molecule: ribosomal RNA, 659 nt
Filed under: uncultured bacterium
Lineage: Bacteria
Description: bacterial SSU rRNA
Rfam family: Bacterial small subunit ribosomal RNA
Source: RNAcentral
CGCGGCCUAUCAGCUUGUUGGUGGUGUAACGGACCACCAAGGCAACGACGGGUAGCGGGCCUGAGAGGGUGGCCCGUCACACUGGGACUGAGACACUGCCCAGACUCCUACGGGAGGCAGCAGUCGAGAAUCUUCCGCAAUGGACGCAAGUCUGACGGAGCGACGCCGCGUGUAGGACGAAGGCCCUUGGGUUGUAAACUACUGUCACGAGUCAUGAAUGGGUAGGCGUUAAUAGCGCCUGCAUUGACGUAAGCUCGAGAGGAAGCACCGGCUAACUCUGUGCCAGCAGCCGCGGUAACACAGAGGGUGCAAACGUUGUUCGGAAUCACUGGGCAUAAAGCGCACGUAGGCGGCUUGGUAAGUGUGAAGUGAAAGCCCACGGCUCACCCGUGGAAUUGCCUUGCAUACUGCCUGGCUCGAGGACGGUAGGGGAGAGCAGAACUCCUGGAGGAGCGGUGAAAUGCGUAGAUAUCAGGAGGAAUACCAGUGGCGAAGGCGGCUCUCUGGUCCGUUUCUGACGCUGAGGUGCGAAAGCUAGGGUAGCGAACGGGAUUAGAUACCCCGGUAGUCCUAGCCGUAAACGAUGGGCACUAACUAGAGGUCUCCUGUUUGAUCUCUGGUGAAGCAAAUGUGUUAAGUGCCCCGCCUGGGGAGUACGG